CACAAUCAGAGGGCGUCAGAAGAGUUUAGUGGAAGCUGCGGUGGUUUAUGCCUGUAAUCCCAGCACUUGGGAAGUAGAAGCAGAAAGAUAAGAAGUGAAACGUCACCCUCAGUAAAUUCAAGUACGUUUGGAAGCACAGACGUCAUGAAAGAUAAAGAUUGGUUAGGUCUUGGCAGUUAGCAAAGAUGGGCCAGGUGCUGGUGGCACGCACUGCCUGCUGACGUCCUCCCACAGAGGAUGACAGGCGAAUUGCUCACCCUCGGUCCUGGACUUCGUCAUCUGGAGGCGGCUCUUCCUGGUGGUUGGUGGGAGCCUGGACUCUGCCUUCUGAAUUCAGCUCCCUGUAACCCAUCUGCUUCGCCACUAGAGGCGGCAAAUGCAAGGCUCUGGGCUACGCUCUACAAACAGUCCAGGCAGAGGGUGGGAAGACUGCAGGGUGCGGUGGCCAGAAUGUGGCGUCACGCUUCCUGGGGACAAGCGCACUUCCUCAGACUCAUGCAAUUACAGUCAUGAUGAACACAGCUGGAAACAAGCGAAAGCGAUGCUGCAAUACUCCCUGUGAAGACAAUGCAAACGUCCCAUGGGCGUUGGACCGCAAUCGUCACGCGGCGGUGUGUUUUCUUCCACUUAAGAGUGACCGGAGAUUCUCUUUGUGACUUCGUACUGUGGAAGACCUGUAAGAAUUCAAAUCGUGAGACACCACUCCCCACUGUAGGACUGCCCGGAAGAAGACAUUUGAGGAAGAAUAAGAGGCUCACAGAGGGUAGGGGGAGCAUGGAGAGUCAUUGGUUAGGAGGAGGAGGAAAGUGGAAAAUUCGAGCAUGCAAUAGAGAAAUGCUACUGUUUACAUAUCCAGAAAGAAACCAAAAUACAAGACUUUCAUGUAACAUUUCAUUCGCUCUGUGUUGCUGGGUAUGGAACUCGGGCCUCCAGUAUCCGGGGGGAUGCCACUCCCUUCCACUCAGCCAUACCCUGCCCCUCAGGUGUAACAUUUUAAUUGGCCUCCCUGAAAUAAGAUUCCACUAAACACACACAAAACUGCGAUUCU
Molecule: long non-coding RNA, 1048 nt
Filed under: Cricetulus griseus (Chinese hamster)
Lineage: Eukaryota; Metazoa; Chordata; Mammalia; Rodentia; Cricetidae
Description: lncRNA (ENSCGRG00015041264.1)
Source: RNAcentral